This 255-nucleotide ribosomal RNA is filed under the name Escherichia coli. RNAcentral describes it as "partial 23S ribosomal RNA". It matches the Rfam family "Bacterial large subunit ribosomal RNA", at positions 1 to 256 of the family's 2925-position model. The record is from RNAcentral. Lineage: Bacteria; Pseudomonadati; Pseudomonadota; Gammaproteobacteria; Enterobacterales; Enterobacteriaceae.
GGUUAAGCGACUAAGCGUACACGGUGGAUGCCCUGGCAGUCAGAGGCGAUGAAGGACGUGCUAAUCUGCGAUAAGCGUCGGUAAGGUGAUAUGAACCGUUAUAACCGGCGAUUUCCGAAUGGGGAAACCCAGUGUGUUUCGACACACUAUCAUUAACUGAAUCCAUAGGUUAAUGAGGCGAACCGGGGGAACUGAAACAUCUAAGUACCCCGAGGAAAAGAAAUCAACCGAGAUUCCCCCAGUAGCGGCGAGCGA